RNAcentral lists this unclassified non-coding RNA (466 nucleotides) under Enterococcus faecalis V583. Its description in RNAcentral is "Ref46". The record is from RNAcentral. Lineage: Bacteria; Bacillati; Bacillota; Bacilli; Lactobacillales; Enterococcaceae.
GAAGAGAGCGUACUAGACAUACGCUCUCGGGUAGACCGUUUAAGACGGUAGCUUUAAUUUAUUGGUUAAUAAACCCGUCAAUCUUCGCUAAAAGUUAUGACGGGUUUAUUUUUUGUCGUUUUUAUUACUGAUUUUGACAAUUAAUGUUGCGAAAGCAAUCGCAAGCAUCAAUGCUUCAAAGACAGUCACUACUAUUCCUUUCUAGGGAAAGAGCAAACAAGCAAAAACAUUGGCAGUCCCCCUUUUUUUGAGAAAUUGCCACCGUCAUAAACUUCCUACUUGUGUAGUAUAACACAUUUGUACCUUCCUAGAAUACGCUUACUUUCCUGAUUAUUCAACAGCCGCUUUCUUUUGUAAUAAAAAUCGCGCACCGUUUACUGGGAUAAAACGAUUCAGCCAACUAAAAUUUUUUAGACUAAACAGACCGACCAUCUUUUUUGAUGGUCGGUCUGUUUAGUCUAUUGCU